UAGGAAUCUUCCACAAUGGACGCAAGUCUGAUGGAGCAACGCCGCGUGAGUGAAGAAGGUUUUCGGACCGUAAAGCUCUGUUGUUGGUGAAGAAGGAUAGAGGUAGUAACUGGCCUUUAUUUGACGGUAAUCAACCAGAAAGUCACGGCUAACUACGUGCCAGCAGCCGCGGUAAAUCGUAGGUGGCAAGCGUUGUCCGGAUUUAUUGGGCGUAAAGCGAGCGCAGGCGGAAGAAUAAGUCUGAUGUGAAGGCCCUCGGCUUAACCGAGGAAUUGCAUCGGAAACUGUUUUCUUGAGUGCAGAAGAGGAGAGUAGAACUCCAUGUGUAGCGGUGGAAUGCGUAGAUAUAUGGAAGAAUACCAGUGGCGAAGGCGGCUCUCUGGUCUGCAACUGACGCUGAGGCUCGAAAGCAUGGGUAGCGAACAGGAUUAGAUACCCUGGUAGUCCAUGCCGUAAACGAUGAGUGCUAAGUGUUGGGAGGCUUCCGCCUCUCAGUGCUGCAGCUAACGCAUUAAGCACUCCGCCUGGGGGAGUACGACCGCAAGGUUGAAAC
Molecule: ribosomal RNA, 553 nt
Filed under: uncultured bacterium
Lineage: Bacteria
Description: partial 16S ribosomal RNA
Rfam family: Bacterial small subunit ribosomal RNA
Source: RNAcentral